UAUAAGGUGGCUGAGAUGUAGGUGUUGGUUUGUAAAAUCAAAAACGAGGAAGUUUUCUCUCUUAUAA
This 67-nucleotide transfer RNA is filed under the name Ophioplinthus gelida. Its description in RNAcentral is "tRNA-Tyr". Lineage: Eukaryota; Metazoa; Echinodermata; Ophiuroidea; Amphilepidida; Ophiuridae. The record is from RNAcentral.